This 99-nucleotide ribosomal RNA is filed under the name Crocodylus siamensis (Siamese crocodile). The record is from RNAcentral. Lineage: Eukaryota; Metazoa; Chordata; Crocodylia; Crocodylidae.
UACGGCCAUACCACCCUGAACACGCCCGAUCUCGUCUGAUCUCGGAAGCUAAGCAGGGUUGGGCCCGGUUAGUACCUGGAUGGGAGACCGCCUGGGAAU